UACGGAGGGUGCGAGCGUUGUUCGGAAUCACUGGGCGUAAAGGGCGUGUAGGCGGUCUGCUAAGUUUGGAGUGACAGUUGGUGGCUUAACUGCCAAAGUGCUUCGAAAACUGACAGACUUGAGGGCUUCAGAGGGACACGGAAUUCCGGGUGGAGUGGUGAAAUGCGUAGAGAUCCGGAGGAACACCAAAGGCGAAGGCAGUGUCCUGGGGAGUACCUGACGCUCAGGUGCGAAAGCCAGGGGAGCGAACGGG
Molecule: ribosomal RNA, 253 nt
Filed under: uncultured bacterium
Lineage: Bacteria
Description: partial 16S ribosomal RNA
Rfam family: Bacterial small subunit ribosomal RNA
Source: RNAcentral